GAUGAACGCUGGCGGCGUGCCUAAUACAUGCAAGUCGAGCGAACAGACGAGGAGCUUGCUCCUCUGACGUUAGCGGCGGACGGGUGAGUAACACGUGGAUAACCUACCUAUAAGACUGGGAUAACUUCGGGAAACCGGAGCUAAUACCGGAUAAUAUAUUGAACCGCAUGGUUCAAUAGUGAAAGACGGUUUUGCUGUCACUUAUAGAUGGAUCCGCGCCGCAUUAGCUAGUUGGUAAUGUAACGGCUUACCAAGGCAACGAUGCGUAGCCGACCUGAGAGAGCGAGCGGCCACACUGGGACUGAGACACGGCCCAGACUCCUACGAGAGGCAGCAGUAGGGAAGUUUAGACAAUGGGCGAAAGCCUGACGCAGCAAUACCGCGUGCGGUAAGAAGGCCUUCGGAUUGUAAACCUCUGUUAUUAGGAACGAAAAGAUGCUGACGAAAAUCUGCACGUCAUGACGGUACCGGAAGAAAAAGCACCGGCUAACUACGUG
This 497-nucleotide ribosomal RNA is filed under the name uncultured bacterium. RNAcentral's name for it is "partial 16S ribosomal RNA". It matches the Rfam family "Bacterial small subunit ribosomal RNA", at positions 28 to 507 of the family's 1533-position model. The record is from RNAcentral.